CACUCUAGUGGCUAAGUGGUUAGAGCAUCCACCUCGGAUGCAGGAGGUCAUGGGUUCAAAUCUUGGCUGAGUCA
Molecule: non-coding RNA, 74 nt
Organism: Potamilus streckersoni
Lineage: Eukaryota; Metazoa; Mollusca; Bivalvia; Unionida; Unionidae
Source: the annotation of a GenBank genome assembly